Long non-coding RNA from Sinocyclocheilus anshuiensis, 249 nucleotides. RefSeq lists it as uncharacterized. The transcript is spliced from 3 exons. The record is from RefSeq and is a predicted model, not a curated record. NCBI's taxonomy places the organism in Eukaryota, Metazoa, Chordata, Actinopteri, Cypriniformes, Cyprinidae.
UGACAUUUGCGUUAUAUAACAACGAUUGGUGGAUCAAGAGGUCAACAACAAGGACUAUCUCUCUACCGUGCUUCUUUUCCCUUAGCUGCCCCCAUAAGUCAGACAUCACUUCUGUUGCCCAUGAUGUGCUCAUCAUCACAGCUCACAACUGAUGGAUCUGCUGGGCCUCCAGGAGGUGGUGAAACACUGCAGUUCCAGAAGCUGUUUUGCAGCAUCUUCUGCUGGUCUGGAGGAUAAUUAUGCCCCGAG